CACCGCCCGUCACACCAUGAAAGCUGUUUGUACCAGAAGUCGAUGUGCUAACCGUAAGGAGGCAGUCGCCCGAGGUAUGAAGAGUGAUUGGGGUG
This 95-nucleotide ribosomal RNA is filed under the name uncultured bacterium. Its description in RNAcentral is "partial 16S ribosomal RNA". It matches the Rfam family "Bacterial small subunit ribosomal RNA", at positions 1388 to 1482 of the family's 1533-position model. The record is from RNAcentral.